UACAGAGGUCUCGAGCGUUGUUCGGAUUUACUGGGCGUAAAGGGAGCGUAGGCGGUUUGGUGUGUUGAAUGUGAAAUCCCACAACUCAACUGUGGAAAUGCAUUCAAAACUACCGGACUGGAGUACUGGAGAGGAGAGCGGAAUUCUUGGUGUAGCGGUGAAAUGCGUAGAUAUCAAGAGGAACACCGGUGGCGAAAGCGCUCUGCUGGACCAAAACUGACACUCAGGGACGAAAGCUAGGGGAGCGAAUGGG
Molecule: ribosomal RNA, 253 nt
Filed under: uncultured bacterium
Lineage: Bacteria
Description: partial 16S ribosomal RNA
Rfam family: Bacterial small subunit ribosomal RNA
Source: RNAcentral